This 435-nucleotide ribosomal RNA is filed under the name uncultured bacterium. Its description in RNAcentral is "partial 16S ribosomal RNA". It matches the Rfam family "Bacterial small subunit ribosomal RNA", at positions 29 to 507 of the family's 1533-position model. The record is from RNAcentral.
AGCGAACGCUGGCGGCAGGCUUAACACAUGCAAGUCGAGCGGGCACUUUCGGGUGUCAGCGGCGGACGGGUGAGUAACGCGUGGGAACGUGCCCUCUGGUUCGGAAUAACUCAGGGAAACUUGAGCUAAUACCGGCUACGCCCUUUUGGGGAAAGGCUUGUUGCCGGAGGAUCGGCCCGCGUCUGAUUAGCUAGUUGGUGAGGUAACGGCUCACCAAGGCGACGAGCAGUAGCUGGUCUGAGAGGAUGAUCAGCCACACUGGGACUGAGACACGGCCCAGACUCCUACGGGAGGCAGCAGUGGGGAAUAUUGGACAAUGGGCGCAAGCCUGAUCCAGCCAUGCCGCGUGAGUGAUGAAGGCCUUAGGGUUGUAAAGCUCUUUUAUCCGGGACGAUAAUGACGGUACCGGAGGAAUAAGCCCCGGCUAACUUCGUG